CCUACGGGAGGCAGCAGUGGGGAAUAUUGGACAAUGGGGGGAACCCUGAUCCAGCCAUGCCGCGUGUGUGAAGAAGGCCCUCGGGUUGUAAAGCACUUUCAGUGAGGAAGAACGCCUGGUGGUUAAUACCCAUCAGGAAAGACAUCACUCACAGAAGAAGCACCGGCUAACUCCGUGCCAGCAGCCGCGGUAAUACGGAGGGUGCGAGCGUUAAUCGGAAUUACUGGGCGUAAAGCGCGCGUAGGUGGCUUGAUAAGCCGGUUGUGAAAGCCCCGGGCUCAACCUGGGAACGGCAUCCGGAACUGUCAAGCUAGAGUGCAGGAGAGGAAGGUAGAAUUCCCGGUGUGGCGGUGAAAUGCGUAGAGAUCGGGAGGAAUACCAGUGGCGAAGGCGGCCUUCUGGACUGACACUGACACUGAGGUGCGAAAGCGUGGGUAGCAAACAGGAUUAGAUACCCGAGUAGUC
RNAcentral lists this ribosomal RNA (465 nucleotides) under Vreelandella stevensii. Its description in RNAcentral is "partial 16S ribosomal RNA". It matches the Rfam family "Bacterial small subunit ribosomal RNA", at positions 338 to 795 of the family's 1533-position model. Lineage: Bacteria; Pseudomonadati; Pseudomonadota; Gammaproteobacteria; Oceanospirillales; Halomonadaceae. The record is from RNAcentral.